Molecule: ribosomal RNA, 443 nt
Filed under: uncultured bacterium
Lineage: Bacteria
Description: partial 16S ribosomal RNA
Rfam family: Bacterial small subunit ribosomal RNA
Source: RNAcentral
CCUACGGGAGGCAGCAGUAGGGAAUAUUGCACAAUGGGGGAAACCCUGAUGCAGCAACGCCGCGUGAAGGAAGACGGUUUUCGGAUUGUAAACUUCUAUCAAUAGGGAAGAAAGAAAUGACGGUACCUAAAUAAGAAUCCCCGGCUAACUACGUACCAGCAGCCGCGGUAAUACGUAGGAGGCAAGCGUUAGCCGGAAGUACUGGGUGUAUAGGGAGAGUAGGCGGCAAGGUAAGCGAUAUGUGAAAGCCUUAAGCUUAACUUAAGGAUGGCAUAACGAACUAUCUAGCUAGAGUACAGGAGAGGAAAGCGGAAGUCCUAGUGUAGCGGUGAAAUGCGUAGAUAUUAGGAAGAACACCAGUGGCGAAGGCGGCUUUCUGGACUGAAACUGACGCUGAGGCUCGAAAGCGUGGGGAGCGAACAGGAUUAGAUACCCCUGUAGUC